AUGAAAGGCACGGACAAAGCAGAGACCAAAGUCAAGAAACCUAAGAGACACAACCCCUUCAUAGCCUCGAAUCAAGGCCAAAGUUAUACAGAGAUCGGCACAGGACGGAGCCGCAGAGGUAGCAAAAUUAAACACGCCUUGUUCUUUGUUUCUUUUUUUUGUUUAAGCAGAAGAUUUGCAUUUUCUUUCUUCAUUUCUUUCUUUUUUUCCUUGGGGACUGUCUUAUUUCUUUCUUUCUCUCUGUCUGUCUCUCUUUCUGUCUUUAUCUCUACAUGUCAGG
RNAcentral lists this long non-coding RNA (280 nucleotides) under Sphaeramia orbicularis (orbiculate cardinalfish). RNAcentral describes it as "lncRNA (ENSSORG00005019818.1)". Lineage: Eukaryota; Metazoa; Chordata; Actinopteri; Kurtiformes; Apogonidae. The record is from RNAcentral.